Molecule: ribosomal RNA, 500 nt
Filed under: uncultured bacterium
Lineage: Bacteria
Description: partial 16S ribosomal RNA
Rfam family: Bacterial small subunit ribosomal RNA
Source: RNAcentral
AUUGAACGCUGGCGGCAGGCUUAACACAUGCAAGUCGAGCGGAGCGAGGGUGCUUGCACCUUAGCUUAGCGGCGGACGGGUGAGUAAUGUCUGGGAAACUGCCCGAUGGAGGGGGAUAACUACUGGAAACGGUAGCUAAUACCGCAUAACGUCGCAAGACCAAAGUGGGGGACCUUCGGGCCUCACACCAUCGGAUGUGCCCAGAUGGGAUUAGCUAGUAGGUGGGGUAAUGGCUCACCUAGGCGACGAUCCCUAGCUGGUCUGAGAGGAUGACCAGCCACACUGGAACUGAGACACGGUCCAGACUCCUACGGGAGGCAGCAGUGGGGAAUAUUGCACAAUGGGCGCAAGCCUGAUGCAGCCAUGCCGCGUGUAUGAAGAAGGCCUUCGGGUUGUAAAGUACUUUCAGCGGGGAGGAAGGCGGUGAGGUUAAUAACCUCGCCGAUUGACGUUACCCGCAGAAGAAGCACCGGCUAACUCCGUGCCAGCCGCCGCGGUAA